This 450-nucleotide ribosomal RNA is filed under the name uncultured bacterium. RNAcentral describes it as "partial 16S ribosomal RNA". It matches the Rfam family "Bacterial small subunit ribosomal RNA", at positions 354 to 796 of the family's 1533-position model. The record is from RNAcentral.
GUGGGGAAUAUUGGACAAUGGGCGAAAGCCUGAUCCAGCCAUGCCGCGUGUGUGAAGAAGGUCUUCGGAUUGUAAAGCACUUUAAGUUGGGAGGAAGGGCAGUAAGUUAAUACCUUGCUGUUUUGACGUUACCGACAGAAUAAGCACCGGCUAACUUCGUGCCAGCAGCCGCGGUAAUACGAAGGGUGCAAGCGUUAAUCGGAAUUACUGGGCGUAAAGCGCGCGUAGGUGGUUCGUUAAGUUGGAUGUGAAAGCCCCGGGCUCAACCUGGGAACUGCAUCCAAAACUGGCGAGCUAGAGUACGGUAGAGGGUGGUGGAAGUUCCUGUGUAGCGGUGAAAUGCGUAGAUAUAGGAAGGAACACCAGUGGCGAAGGCGACCACCUGGACUGAUACUGACACUGAGGUGCGAAAGCGUGGGGAGCAAACAGGAUUAGAAACCCCGGUAGUCC